Molecule: long non-coding RNA, 293 nt
Organism: Onychostoma macrolepis
Lineage: Eukaryota; Metazoa; Chordata; Actinopteri; Cypriniformes; Cyprinidae
Exons: 3
Source: RefSeq, a predicted model, not a curated record
AAUCAUUCAAGAACGACCCAUCACUCACUACCGCACAGGUAGUUCCAGGCAAUAUUGUUUGUAAAUUAAACAGCGCCACCCUCCUCUAGCGGCCACUGUGGGUAACAACACUAACUAGCGGAGCAAGUUCUUGUUUUGACAGGAAAAAAGUGCCUUGUUUAAUUCAGUGUUCACAGGUCCAGAAUUGACGCGAAACACUCAGAUUGGCCGCUCUUGUCCUCGUCGUCGCUGAGUCACGGAGCAGAAAGGUCUCUCUACAGCACUAUCACAGUGAAGAUGCUCUCAGCAGAGGU